This 434-nucleotide ribosomal RNA is filed under the name uncultured Glomeromycotina. RNAcentral's name for it is "SSU rRNA". It matches the Rfam family "Eukaryotic small subunit ribosomal RNA", at positions 569 to 1011 of the family's 1831-position model. Lineage: Eukaryota; Fungi; Glomeromycota. The record is from RNAcentral.
AGCAGCCGCGGUAAUUCCAGCUCCAAUAGCGUAUAUUAAAGUUGUUGCAGUUAAAAGCUCGUAGUUGAAUUUCGAGACCGGUUUACUGGUCGUGCUUUUGUACGUACUGGUAUAAUCGGUUUCUCUCUUCUGACGAACUAUAAUGCCAUUAAUUUUGUGUUAUAGGGAAUCAGGACUGUUACUUUGAAAAAUUAGAGUGUUUAAAGCAGGCUCACGCUUGAAUACAUUAGCAUGGAAUAACGGAAUAGGACGUUUGAUUCUAUUUUGUUGGUUUCUAGGAUCGACGUAAUGAUUAAUAGGGAUAGUUGGGGGCAUUAGUAUUCAAUUGUCAGAGGUGAAAUUCUUGGAUUUAUUGAAGACUAACUACUGCGAAAGCAUUUGCCAAGGAUGUUUUCAUUAAUCAAGAACGAAAGUUAGGGAUCGAAGACGAUCAG